RNAcentral lists this ribosomal RNA (433 nucleotides) under uncultured bacterium. RNAcentral describes it as "partial 16S ribosomal RNA". It matches the Rfam family "Bacterial small subunit ribosomal RNA", at positions 29 to 507 of the family's 1533-position model. The record is from RNAcentral.
AACGAACGCUGGCGGCAUGCCUAACACAUGCAAGUCGAACGAAGUCUUCGGACUUUGUGGCGCACGGGUGUGUAACGCGUGGGAAUCUGCCCUUGGGUACGGAAUAACUCAGAGAAAUUUGUGCUAAUACAGUAUAAUGUCUUAGGACCAAAGAUUUAUCGCCCCAGGAUGAGCCCGCGUAAGAUUAGCUAGUUGGUGGGGUAAAAGCAUACCAAGGGGUCGUUGUUUAGCUGGUUGGAGAGGAUGAUCAGCAACACUGGGACGAAGAAACGGCCCAGACUCCUACGCAAGGCAGGAGAGUGGAAUAGUGCACAAUGGGGGAAGGCCUGAUCCAGCAAUGCCGCGUAAGUUAUGCAGGCCCUAGGGAACUAAAGCUCUAUUACCAGAGAUGAUAAUGACGGUACCUGGUGAAUAAGCACCGGCUAACUCCGUG